UAAAAAAAUCUUUCCAAUUUGUAAACCCACCGUUUCUCUAGAUACAUCCCAGUUCCCACAUCGUUUUUCUCACCGCUAAAAUGCUCAACGCGCUGCUUGCCUCUACUCUCCCCGUCUUCCACCUCGCCCCAUCUGCUAAAAUCUCUUCGAUUCUACCAACCGCCGCAACCGUUCAGACUUUCCCAGAGGAUGGGAAAGGGAUCGCCAAUUUGAAAUCAGCUCUUCAGGUGCAGAAUGAACAACUAAUCAAUGUGGGAAACUUUUGGAAAUGUAUAUAACUGUAACUUAGAAAUCUCCCAUUUGGAUUGCACUUAUGCUUUGAAUGCAAAGUAAAUAAAAUGUAAUGUAACUUAAAGAGUUAUUUUAGAAAUGAAUGGGUUGAUUUGUGAUUUUA
Molecule: long non-coding RNA, 394 nt
Organism: Pyrus x bretschneideri (Chinese white pear)
Lineage: Eukaryota; Viridiplantae; Streptophyta; Magnoliopsida; Rosales; Rosaceae
Exons: 3
Source: RefSeq, a predicted model, not a curated record